UUAAGCACCACUAAGACUCAAUCCGCCAGAAAAUUACGAGCGAAAGCCUAAAACUCAAAAGACUUGACGGUGUCCCAACCUUCCUAGAGGAGCCUGUUCCAUAAUCGACAACCCACGAUAUACCUAACCACCCUUAGAAAUCUUUUAACCUCAGCCUAUAUACCGCCGUCAUACAGCCUACCUUUUAAAAGAAUUUAAGUAGGCUAAAUAGUAACAUACUAACAAGUCAGGUCAAGGUGUAGCUUAUACGGUGGAGGCAAUGGGCUACAUUGUUUAUAUUAAACCAUACGAACUUUACUUCUACCUGAAAAAAGACAAUGAAGGCGGAUUUAGCAGUAAUUUAAACAAGACUAUUUAAAUUAACACCAGCUCUGGGACAUGU
This 382-nucleotide ribosomal RNA is filed under the name Proctoporus cf. bolivianus Ca3. RNAcentral's name for it is "partial 12S ribosomal RNA". It matches the Rfam family "Bacterial small subunit ribosomal RNA", at positions 875 to 1384 of the family's 1533-position model. Lineage: Eukaryota; Metazoa; Chordata; Lepidosauria; Squamata; Gymnophthalmidae. The record is from RNAcentral.